AUUGAACGCUGGCGGCAUGCUUUACACAUGCAAGUCGAACGGUAGCGCGGGUUCCGGUCUGGCCGCGUGUGGCGCAGGGGUGUGUAACGCAUCGGAAUGUGCCCAGUAGUGGGGGAUAGCGGGGAGAAAGUCGGUAAUAUCGCACACACUAUCAGAGGGGGAACGGGGGGGAGCGAAAGCUUUCGCGCUUUGGGAGCCGCCGAUGGCGGAUUAGCUAGUUGGUGGGAUAAAGGCUUACCAAGGCGACGAUCCGUAGCUGGUCUGAGAGGACGACCAGCCACACUGGGACUGAGACACGGCCCAGACUCCUACGGGAGGCAGCAGUGGGGAAUUUUGGACAAUGGGGGCAAGCCUGAUCCAGCCAUGCCGCGUGCAGGAAGAAGGCCUUCGGGUUGUAAACCGCUUUUGUUCGGGAAGAAAAGCUCUGGGCUAAUACCCCGGGGGGAUGACGGUACCGGAAGAAUAAGCACCGGCUAACUACGUG
This 484-nucleotide ribosomal RNA is filed under the name uncultured bacterium. Its description in RNAcentral is "partial 16S ribosomal RNA". It matches the Rfam family "Bacterial small subunit ribosomal RNA", at positions 28 to 507 of the family's 1533-position model. The record is from RNAcentral.